UGUAAAAUGCCUUCUUCUUCACGCCUCUAGGAGUCUCUAACCUUUUCGUGUAAUCUCUCUCAUCUGUGGAUGAAGCGCAUAACCUAGGAUUUAGUUUUUGUUUUUUUUUUUUGGUUUUCUUAAACAAAAUCUUAGCAAUAGGAAAGUCUCAGCAUAGUAUCAGAUCACCGGACCAACGUCAUGUGUCCUGGCGACGAAAGGUAACGCUGAUUCGAAAGCCAAUCUUGUGGAAGCUCGUGGACCCUGGUUACUGGGAAUUGAAAGAGAAUCUCCUAGAUGAAUCAUCACAAUCUGAAGUUGGCCAAAACAGUAGCUUGAUUGAUUUUGUGCUUGCGGAAAUUCAAAAACUUGCCUUGAAUAUUCUCCGCUUCAAAUCUAAAUACAGCAAUAGGAUUCGUGUGGAUAUCAGCAAACAAGAUGGAAAGACAUGAAAGACAAGAAAAUAUAUGGACAAUGAUGUCACAAACUUACUGAGAUCUGGAUGCAGCAUAAGCAAUGUCUGAAAAAUCCCGCAUUAGCCAUUUCUAAGAUCAAAUUCAUAAAGAAUCUGGAGAGUAAGAUAAUGUGCAAUAUGAUUAAUAAAAGAUGAAGCAGUUGAAUAUAAGAGGAAAUACAGAAUACUGCAGUUGUCUAGGAAUCAUAUUUUUGCCUUGAGGGAAAAAUCAGAAACUUAGAAGUAUUUUCAGACCGGAUAGUUGACUGAGAUAGUGUACCAAAUUGUAAAUCCUUCCUUGGUCCUGAUAUUCAAUGCUGGCAAACUCAUCGGAAGUGAUAACUAAGGCGACCUCUGCAAGGACUGAACAAUUUUUUAGAAUGAUAGCCCCAAUUUUCCUUGGAUGGCAACCUGUUUUAGCUUUGGGGCUGGAAUACUAAAACAAGCUAAAAUUUGGAGACCAUAUGCAAAUGGGUCAGAUGUUCACAAGACCAUAUGCAAGCUGGUAACUUAUACGAGUUUGCAAAAUCAAUUGCGGUGCAAACAUACUAAAGAGUGAAUUCCCUGAUACUGUUUCUUGCAAGAUAAUAUAUCCAGGUCUGAAGAUCAGAGAACUUUUCUGGGAAGGUGUUGCAAAGCUGUAUAUUGCCUCAAUGAGAUAGCAGAACAUUAAAAAUGUAGUAUUAGAGACCUCUUGUAUUUGGAGAAUUCCAAAGGGCACGGUUUGAGACCACAUCAAAGAGCAGCUUUGAAAGGUUAACCCAUUUAUGUCUCCAUUGUCUAGAUUGGACGCUUGUUCUCACAGCCUCUUUUAUCUGUAGACGACCAGGGAUGUUGUCCAAAAUAGCCCAUGGUAGUUCACUAAGUCAAUCGAUUACUGUAAGCUCACCUUUGAGCUGAUCAUGCCCGAUUUUCGCUUGAGUACUCGUAUCUACACAUUGUAACUGGUAGAGAUAAGGCCACAUUUGACAUAAUCAAAGGGAAAAAUUUUCAA
Molecule: long non-coding RNA, 1427 nt
Organism: Mangifera indica (mango)
Lineage: Eukaryota; Viridiplantae; Streptophyta; Magnoliopsida; Sapindales; Anacardiaceae
Exons: 2
Source: RefSeq, a predicted model, not a curated record